GAGAGACAGUCGAGGAGAUCACAGACGCGCGCACAGCCAGGGAAUGGGGAGCUGAAAUCACAACUCGCACACAAACAAAGCCACGUUACUGCUGCAAGGAGCGGCUGGCGGAUGGACGUGCUGGUGCCGUACCGGGGAGCCCGGGCAGCGACUGAGGAGGUGCUGGCCCGUGUGUGAAGGAAUUAUCUGCCGCAGAGGAGAAGCGGAUCCCGAUCUUCCAGGCGCCGCUGUAUGGGAACACAGGAUGAUCGGUGACAUGCGGUAACGAGGAUCAGCAGAGACCUGUAGCCCCCAACACGUCAAUGACCCUAAGAUCGCCCGACAGCGCUGACAGCACCGGUACCAUAGACAACGGGACCCGGGACACUCAGGGAAACGCCAAGGACGAGCACAUCGCCAUGUCCCUGGGAGAGCUCCGCAGGUCAGGUUGGUACUGGGGCCAUAUGACAGUCAACGAGGCCAAAGAAAAACUGCAGGAUGCUCCUGAAGGCACUUUUCUGGUUAGAGACAGUUCACAUACAGAUUACCUCUUGACUAUCUCUGUGAAGACCUCAGCAGGACCAACAAACCUGCGAAUUGAAUAUAGGGAGGGGAAGUUCAGGUUGGACUCUGUUGUAUGUGUACGCUCCAGACUAAAGCAAUUUGAUAGCGUCGUCCAUCUUAUUGAGUAUUAUGUUCUAUUGUCCAAGAACAAGAAAAUCGAGACUGAGACUCUUCCGAACAGGACAGUGCACCUUUGGCUUGUUAAGCCACUUUACACAUCUACCCCAUCCUUGCAGCAUUUGUGUAGAAUGGCUGUCAACAAAUGCACAAACAAGAUCCAUGAACUCCCAUUACCCAUGAGAUUGAAGGAAUACAUAACAGAAUACCGUUAUCACGUAUAGAUAUUUCUUAAUUGCCUUCACCAUGGGAAAUGAAACUUCAAGAAACUUCCAAAUCCAGACAAAUAAGUUAAAAUCUGUUCUCAAUUCCAAGAAGUUUAUAUUGCGUCAUUUCAUUUCAAAGUGAUUGUCAUAGGACUAUUCAGGUCUUAAAGAAUGCAUCAUUUUUGGGACUUACUGGAAGACAAUCCUAUUGAAACAACUGUUAUAGAGCGUCUAGAAACAGAACUCACAUGACUGUCACAAAGCUGACUGCGGAGAAGGGCGAAAUCAGUUUGGUAGCAAACCAUGUCAUGCUCCACAUCACAUGUCCUGCCAGCCUACAGUCAACGACAUCCCAUGCCUGAUCAAUAAACGUUAAGAGUACUCUUCUGUCAGGCUCAACACCCAACUGAAAUGAGGUUUUCAAGGAUACACAAUACAGUAUAUUGCUUCUGCAAUCUUGGCCCAGCGUAAUAUGUACACAUAUGAUCUCUGUUUGCUAACCAUUAUCAGACAGAAAUGUGUGCUGUUACCACGUGCUAUAAUGGUGUCCAAUGCCUUUCUACUAAUUGCAGUGUAUUGGGAACAAAUGUUGCCAGUGUUUGUCAGUCUCUCGAAUACAGAAAUGUUGGUACUGGGUCUUCUAAGCUUUUCCAGUAUUAGAAAUGCACAUGGGGUAAGAAAUGAAGAACCUGUACCAUACUUGUAGUGAUGCAGUGUGACUUCCUAGGAAAUUAUGGAAUGUCCACAAAGGAUGCUUGAAAGCAUUUGGUUAAGUCAUUGCAUUCACUGUCUUACAACUUGGGAAAACAAGUGCUAGCCACGCUUCUAAUAUGAGAAAAGUGUCUAUGUUGUGUGAAAGAAACACUUUCCAAAUAAUUCAUCAGUGAAAAUGCUCUCCUACUUCCGUGAGACCUUUUGUGUGGUGUUGUAUCUUGAAAAAGAUGUGGUCCAGUUUUACCCCCCUAAUGACCAAUCAUAAUGUAGCUUUUAUUUUCUAAGAAAAGUUUGGAAAAGAAACCACUUAAAGGUGUCAUCCCAUCUCACCAUUUCCACAGUGAAAUGGAGCUAAGCACCGGUUCUAAGUAGCCAGGCUUAGGGCUCAUGCA
This is an RNA transcript of Bufo gargarizans (Asiatic toad), 1972 nucleotides long. It is a transcript of the gene named suppressor of cytokine signaling 2, with no coding region annotated. NCBI's taxonomy places the organism in Eukaryota, Metazoa, Chordata, Amphibia, Anura, Bufonidae. The record is from RefSeq and is a predicted model, not a curated record. The transcript is spliced from 4 exons.